This 253-nucleotide ribosomal RNA is filed under the name uncultured bacterium. RNAcentral describes it as "partial 16S ribosomal RNA". It matches the Rfam family "Bacterial small subunit ribosomal RNA", at positions 524 to 776 of the family's 1533-position model. The record is from RNAcentral.
UACGUAGGGGGCGAACGUUGUCCGGAUUUACUGGGUGUAAAGGGUGCUCAGGCGGUCUUGUAAGUCAGAGGAGAAAUCUCAAGGCUUAACCUUGAAACUGCCUUUGAUACUGCUGGGCUUGAGUACGGAAGAGGCGGAGGGAAUUCCUGGGGUAGCAGUGAAAUGCGUAGAUAUCAGGAGGAACACCGGUGGCGAAGGCGGUCCGCUGGUCCGUUACUGACGCUCAAGCACGAAAGCGUGGGGAGCAAACAGG